RNAcentral lists this non-coding RNA (29 nucleotides) under Homo sapiens (human). Lineage: Eukaryota; Metazoa; Chordata; Mammalia; Primates; Hominidae. The record is from RNAcentral.
CCGAGGCUUCCAUCCUAUUGGUGUUGUGA